AACGUAGGAGGCGAGCGUUAUCCGGAUUUACUGGGCGUAAAGCGCACGCAGGCGGUUCCGUUAGUCGGACGUGAAAGGUCCUGGCUUAACUGGGAGAGGGCAUUCGAUACUGUGGGACUUGAGGUUGGGAGAGGAGUGUGGAAUUCCCGGUGUAGUGGUGGAAUGCGCAGAGAUCGGGAGGAACACCUGUGGCGAAAGCGGCACUCUGGCCCACACCUGACGCUGAGGUGCGAAAGCGUGGGUAGCAAACAGG
Molecule: ribosomal RNA, 253 nt
Filed under: uncultured bacterium
Lineage: Bacteria
Description: partial 16S ribosomal RNA
Rfam family: Bacterial small subunit ribosomal RNA
Source: RNAcentral